RNAcentral lists this ribosomal RNA (253 nucleotides) under Flintibacter butyricus. RNAcentral's name for it is "partial 16S ribosomal RNA". It matches the Rfam family "Bacterial small subunit ribosomal RNA", at positions 524 to 776 of the family's 1533-position model. The record is from RNAcentral. Lineage: Bacteria; Bacillati; Bacillota; Clostridia; Eubacteriales.
UACGUAGGUGGCAAGCGUUGUCCGGAUUUACUGGGUGUAAAGGGCGUGUAGGCGGGAUUGCAAGUCAGGCGUGAAAACCAGAGGCUCAACCUCUGGCCUGCGUUUGAAACUGUUUUUCUUGAGUACUGGAGAGGUUGGCGGAAUUCCUAGUGUAGCGGUGAAAUGCGUAGAUAUUAGGAGGAACACCAGUGGCGAAGGCGGCCAACUGGACAGCAACUGACGCUGAGGCGCGAAAGCGUGGGGAGCAAACAGG